AAGAAUGCACUGGAGACUAAAGUCUUAUAUGAAUCCACAAAAUGGGUACCAGCAGUACAAAUUUCUCUGCCCUGCUCAAACAAUGCAUGCCUCAGUCCCGACCUGAAAAGACCACCUGUAGGGGUAAAAUGUUAGUUUGGUAUCCAUGGCCCAUUCAUUGCUUUGCCACU
This is an unclassified non-coding RNA of Chelonoidis abingdonii (Abingdon island giant tortoise), 170 nucleotides long. The record is from Ensembl. NCBI's taxonomy places the organism in Eukaryota, Metazoa, Chordata, Testudines, Testudinidae.